This 460-nucleotide ribosomal RNA is filed under the name uncultured bacterium. Its description in RNAcentral is "partial 16S ribosomal RNA". It matches the Rfam family "Bacterial small subunit ribosomal RNA", at positions 338 to 795 of the family's 1533-position model. The record is from RNAcentral.
CCUACGGGAGGCUGCAGUGAGGAAUAUUGGUCAAUGGACGAGAGUCUGAACCAGCCAAGUAGCGUGAAGGAUGACUGCCCUAUGGGUUGUAAACUUCUUUUAUAUGGGAAUAAAAUGUUCCACGUGUGGGAUUUUGUAUGUACCAUAUGAAUAAGGAUCGGGCAACUCCGUGCCAGCAGCCGCGGUAAUACGGAGUAUCCAAGCGUUAUCCGGCUUUAUUGGGUUUAAAGGGAGCGUAGGUGGAUUGUUAAGUCAGUUGUGAAAGUUUGCGGCUCAACCGUAAAAUUGCAGUUGAAACUGGCAGUCUUGAGUAAAGUAGAGGUGUGCGGAAUUCGUGGUGUAGCGGUGAAAUGCUUAGAUAUCACGAAGAACUCCGAUUGCGAAGGCAGUUCACUGGACUGCAACUGACACUGAGGCGCGAAAGUGUGGGUAUCAAACAGGAUUAGAUACCCCUGUAGUC